UCGAGAACUUUUCACAAUGGGCGCAAGCCUGAUGGAGCGACGCCGCGUGGGGGAUGAAGGGUUUCGAUCCGUAAACCCCUGUCAUUUGCGAACAAACCUUGAUUGUGAAUAGCGAUCGAGCUGAUUGUAGCGGAAGAGGAAGGGACGGCUAACUCUGUGCCAGCAGCCGCGGUAAUACAGAGGUCCCAAGCGUUGUUCGGAUUCACUGGGCGUAAAGGGUGCGUAGGUGGUCGGUGAAGUUCGGUGUGAAAGCUCGGAGCUCAACUCCGAAACGGCAUUGAAAACUCAUCGGCUGGAGGGUCGGAGGGGAGACUGGAAUUCUCGGUGUAGCAGUGAAAUGCGUAGAUAUCGAGAGGAACACCAGUGGCGAAGGCGAGUCUCUGGACGACUCCUGACACUGAGGCACGAAAGCCAGGGGAGCAAACAG
RNAcentral lists this ribosomal RNA (427 nucleotides) under uncultured bacterium. Its description in RNAcentral is "bacterial SSU rRNA". It matches the Rfam family "Bacterial small subunit ribosomal RNA", at positions 355 to 775 of the family's 1533-position model. The record is from RNAcentral.